AAUCAACGCUGGCGGCGUGCCUCAGACAUGCAAGUCGAACGCGAAAGUUUCCUUCGGGAAGCGAGUAGAGUGGCGCACGGGUGAGUAACACGUAAGUAAUCUACCUCGGGGUGGGGAAUAACAUCGGGAAACCGAUGCUAAUACCGCAUAAUGCAGCGGCUUCUUAUGAAGACAGUUGUUAAAGCUAUUUUAUGUGCCUGGAGAGGAGCUUGCGGCAGAUUAGCUAGUUGGUAAGGUAAUGGCUUACCAAGGCAACGAUCUGUAGCCGACCUGAGAGGGUGGUCGGUCACACUGACACUGAAUAACGGGUCAGACUCCUACGGGAGGCAGCAGUCGGGUAAUUUUGGGCAAGUGGGCGCAAGCCUGACCCAGCAACGCCGCGUGAAGGAUGAAGUAUUUCGGUAUGUAAACUUACGUAAAAUAGGAAGAAUAAAUGACGGUACUAUUUGUAAGGUCCGGCUAACUACGUGCCAGCCGCCGACGGU
RNAcentral lists this ribosomal RNA (485 nucleotides) under uncultured bacterium. RNAcentral's name for it is "bacterial SSU rRNA". It matches the Rfam family "Bacterial small subunit ribosomal RNA", at positions 32 to 521 of the family's 1533-position model. The record is from RNAcentral.